Molecule: ribosomal RNA, 409 nt
Filed under: Actinomycetes bacterium
Lineage: Bacteria; Bacillati; Actinomycetota; Actinomycetes
Description: Actinobacteria bacterium partial 16S ribosomal RNA
Rfam family: Bacterial small subunit ribosomal RNA
Source: RNAcentral
UGGGGAAUAUUGCACAAUGGGCGGAAGCCUGAUGCAGCGACGCCGCGUGGGGGAUGAAGGCCUUCGGGUUGUAAACUCCUUUCGACAGGGACGAAGCUUUUGUGACGGUACCUGUAUAAGAAGCACCGGCUAACUACGUGCCAGCAGCCGCGGUAAUACGUAGGGUGCGAGCGUUGUCCGGAAUUACUGGGCGUAAAGAGCUCGUAGGUGGUUUGUCGCGUCGUCUGUGAAAUUCCGGGGCUUAACUCCGGGCGUGCAGGCGAUACGGGCUGACUUGAGUGCUGUAGGGGAGACUGGAAUUCCUGGUGUAGCGGUGAAAUGCGCAGAUAUCAGGGGGAACACCGAGGGCGAGGGCAGGUCUCUGGGCAGUAACUGACGCUGAGGAGCGAAAGCAGGGGUAGCGAACAGG